Molecule: long non-coding RNA, 674 nt
Filed under: Trifolium pratense (red clover)
Lineage: Eukaryota; Viridiplantae; Streptophyta; Magnoliopsida; Fabales; Fabaceae
Description: long non-coding RNA (TPRA_LNC002145)
Source: RNAcentral
UGUAUUUUAUUUCUUACUACAAAAGCAUGGUACUGUAAAUCUGAUAGAGAUUGUUUUGGAUUUUUUUCUCAUACUGGAAGGCGAGAAACUCACGAUGAAGUAUGCGUGCAUGGCAAAUGUGUUUUAAUUCCCAUAAAAAGACACAAUUAAUUGGUACUUAAAUGAAACUCACGAUGUACAGAAAAAUGAGUUCUAUCUGUAAAAAACUAUAUUAAUUGUAUUUUUAUCUUUAAAACGUUGGUCAUAAAAUGAGAAUUUUUAUUUAUUUUUUCUUUGAAGCCGAUAUCUCUAAUUCUAUAUGAUAAUAUUGUCUCAGUUUUUUGUAGCAAUUUAAUUCACAUUUCUCUUGAAUGGAAAGUGAGACUCCAUGCGAUCAAAUAGUGUAACCCAACAACGCAAGUGACUAAUAUUACUUGUAGGGAAAGUUUGCCGCCCAUUUAUUCUCACAAGGCUCGAGAAAUUAAUUUUUACAGUUGCGCACAGAGAUACCCAAUAAAAUAGGGUUGUAUUAAAGUUUAUUGGAACUAUAGUUGUUUUUGUUUAUUUACUCCAUUAUUAGUUAUAAUUCCUUGGAAUAUGAAGUAAACAAUAGUUUUGAUGUAUUUUACGGUGUCUUAAAGAUCAAGAUUUGUUUUAUGGUAUUGGAGGACCUCCCUUAAUGGAAAAAAAAAAGU